GACGAACGCUGGCGGCGUGCUUAACACAUGCAAGUCGAACGGAAAGGCCCUGCUUUUGUGGGGUGCUCGAGUGGCGAACGGGUGAGUAACACGUGAGUAACCUGCCCUUGACUUUGGGAUAACUUCAGGAAACUGGGACUAAUACCGGAUAGGAGCUCCUGCUGCAUGGUGGGGGUUGGAAAGUUUCGGCGGUGGGGGAUGGACUCGCGGCUUAUCAGCUGGUUGGUGGGGUAGUGGCUUACCAAGGCUUUGACGGGUAGCCGGCCUGAGAGGGUGACCGGCCACAUUGGGACUGAGAUACGGCCCAGACUCCUACGGGAGGCAGCAGUGGGGAAUAUUGCACAAUGGGCGGAAGCCUGGUGCAGCAGCGCCGCGUGCGGGAUGACGGCCUUCGGGUUGUAAACCGCUUUCGCCUGUGACGAAGCGUGAGUGACGGUAAUGGGUAAAGAAGCACCGGCUAACUACGUG
RNAcentral lists this ribosomal RNA (468 nucleotides) under uncultured bacterium. RNAcentral describes it as "partial 16S ribosomal RNA". It matches the Rfam family "Bacterial small subunit ribosomal RNA", at positions 28 to 507 of the family's 1533-position model. The record is from RNAcentral.